GCCACUGUAGCUCAGCUGGUAGAGCACCGCAUUCGUAAUGCGGGGGUCACCGGUUCGAUCCCGGUCAGUGGCU
Molecule: transfer RNA, 73 nt
Filed under: Gemmatimonadota bacterium
Lineage: Bacteria; Pseudomonadati; Gemmatimonadota
Also listed under: 2 other names
Description: Gemmatimonadetes bacterium tRNA-Thr
Rfam family: tRNA
About the family: Transfer RNA (tRNA) molecules are approximately 80 nucleotides in length. Their secondary structure includes four short double-helical elements and three loops (D, anti-codon, and T loops).
Source: RNAcentral